Molecule: ribosomal RNA, 253 nt
Filed under: uncultured bacterium
Lineage: Bacteria
Description: partial 16S ribosomal RNA
Rfam family: Bacterial small subunit ribosomal RNA
Source: RNAcentral
UACGUAGGGUGCUAGCGUUGUUCGGAAUCAUUGGGCGUAAAGCGCGUGUAGGCGGCCAUUCAAGUCGGGGGUGAAAGCCCAGGGCUCAACCCUGGAAUUGCCUUCGAUACUGUUUGGCUAGAGACCGGAAGAGGUAAGUGGAACUGCGAGUGUAGAGGUGAAAUUCGUAGAUAUUCGCAAGAACACCAGCGGCGAAGGCGGCUUACUGGUCCGGUUCUGACGCUGAGGCGCGAAAGCGUGGGGAGCAAACAGG